Long non-coding RNA from Tupaia belangeri chinensis (Chinese tree shrew), 400 nucleotides. RefSeq lists it as uncharacterized. NCBI's taxonomy places the organism in Eukaryota, Metazoa, Chordata, Mammalia, Scandentia, Tupaiidae. The record is from RefSeq and is a predicted model, not a curated record. The transcript has 3 exons.
UAUAUACUAGCCUGGUGUGUAGAUAUCUCAUAACUGAUUCUGCUUUUUUAAGAGAGAUUUUUUUGCUAUAAGGCAUGUGCUCCUCAAGAGACAGGUUUGUUCAGCUCUGUCUCCUCCCCAGGAGGCUGGAAUACCUUCUCCAUUCUCCUCGCAGGAUCCUGGGCGGGCACCCAUGCACACACACCCAGGGGCAAAUUUCAAGACUCCAGGUCCAGGACACAGACCAGGGUCCAACAUGGAGAAGUCCAGUGAAUAAGUGGCAGUCCUGUGGAGUGAGAAACAGAAAAGAAGAGCAACUGGAAGGGACAGUCUUGCAAAAACACAGGAAUCGAAGCGCUGAGAUCUCAGAGAAGGUACAACCACCCAAGAAUACCACCAAGAUGAGGCGCAGGGACUCGCU